This is a long non-coding RNA of Manihot esculenta (cassava), 1369 nucleotides long. RefSeq lists it as uncharacterized. Lineage: Eukaryota; Viridiplantae; Streptophyta; Magnoliopsida; Malpighiales; Euphorbiaceae. The record is from RefSeq and is a predicted model, not a curated record. The transcript has 2 exons.
UAACAAAUAUGUCAUUCAUAUAAAUUUAACUCAAAUUGACAAGUCUUUUUCUGCUUUUUAGAGAGAGAUUUUUGCUUUCUUAUUCUCUAAGAAUCUUCUUCUCCUUGCCAUGAGAUCGAUUGUCCCUUGUUCAUUCAGACAAGGAAUGAUCCUCAUUUUUCCUGAUCAGAGUGUGGUUCUAUUCUUUCACCAAAAAAUGAGCCAAUAGAUAUCGAUUUUUUAUUUUAUUUUUACUGGUCCAAAGAGAGGAGGAAGCUUGCAUGUCGCUUAGAUGGGUCCUUUGGAGUACUUGCAAAUUUGAUGCUCAUGAGAGGGUUUCAAAUCCUUAAAUCUGUCGACUCUUCUUACAAUUUUAAAGGAUGACCUCUGCUUUUAGAGAGUUUUUCUAUGGUUUUGGUGGAGUAACUCUGGGGCCUAUAAGCUACUCAUUUGUAGCCGACUCUUUUGAGUCCAUGACCAUUAAGGCUAAGAUUAUGCAGCUGAGAGUAAUGUCCUCACCCCCUCUCCUAAAUAUUUGGUUGUCAAGUUUAGUAAGUUUGAUUCUAGCUUUGAUUGAGUUUGUUUUUGAGCUUCAAUUUAGUGUUAAUGGACGAAUCACAACCCCUUUGGAUGCCUCCUUUUUUCUGCUCAAUCAUGCUACAGCUCCAUCUCGUUUCUCACGGGCAAUGCUCGAGCUUCUCUACACUAUCGUUGUGUUAGAUUUUCAUUUUUAAGGCUUUGGGUCUUGUUUUCAUUAGGCUUUUCUUGUGAAUGUUCUGAGCUUUGUUGUAUUGGCCUUGCUAACAGACCUAUGAAAUCCAACAACUUGAGAUCCCACAUCGGUGGAAAAGGGAAGAAGGAAUUUAUAUAAGAUAGUUUAAAGACUAAUAAAUAACAAGGUUGGUCAUUUUGAGCUGAGUUUAAAAAUAAAUUAUUUGGAUCAACAAAACUAAGGCUUUGCAGUUUGGAUCUAGUCUUGACUUAACAAUUGUAUUCAAAUGCUGGUGUGGGAGACAGUAAGGGAAAAUGAGAUCGAAGAACCAUCCGUUUUGGUUUCCGUUUUGACACCUUUCAUUCACUUGGUUUUCCCUUACAUUUGUCGGAUGUGUUGGUGGUUUUCUUUUGAUUUUUGCUUUCACGUUUCCAGAUCCAUAUGAGGGUUUUUUUUAGUUAUGAUUUAUGGGGUUGCAAUGUUACUUUUUUCUAUGGAGGUUUCUCAUUGGUGCAACGUCGGCAUUUCGAGACUGCGGUGGCCAUCGCUCCCGCAAGCGAGGUUAACGCCAUGAACUUUAUCGUCAGUCUUCUCAUUUUCUAUUUCAAAUAUGUUCGGAUUUGCUUUGUCAUGGACCUUUUCUGUUUUAUUGUUAUUUGCAUAUUGCUCUCUUUUGGU